Molecule: ribosomal RNA, 465 nt
Filed under: uncultured bacterium
Lineage: Bacteria
Description: partial 16S ribosomal RNA
Rfam family: Bacterial small subunit ribosomal RNA
Source: RNAcentral
GAUGAACGCUGGCGGCGUGCUUAACACAUGCAAGUCGAACGGAAAGGCUCCUGCUUGCAGGGGUACUCGAGUGGCGAACGGGUGAGUAACACGUGGGUGAUCUGCCCUGCACUUCGGGAUAAGCCUGGGAAACUGGGUCUAAUACCGGAUAGGACGAUGGUUUGGAUGCCAUUGUGGAAAGUUUUUCGGUGUGGGAUGAGCUCGCGGCCUAUCAGCUUGUUGGUGGGGUAAUGGCCUACCAAGGCGUCGACGGGUAGCCGGCCUGAGAGGGUGUACGGCCACAUUGGGACUGAGAUACGGCCCAGACUCCUACGGGAGGCAGCAGUGGGGAAUAUUGCACAAUGGGCGCAAGCCUGAUGCAGCGACGCCGCGUGGGGGAUGACGGCCUUCGGGUUGUAAACUCCUCUCGCUAGGGACGAAGCGCAAGUGACGGUACCUGGAGAAGAAGCACCGGCUAACUACGUG